GAUGAACGCUGGCGGCGUGCCUAACACAUGCAAGUCGAGCGAACCCUUCGGGGUGAGCGGCGGACGGGAGAGUAACGCGUGGGUAACCUGCCCUAUACACACGGAUAACGUACCGAAAGGUACGCUAAUACGGGAUAAAGUUGUUGGAUGGCAUCUUCUAACAAUCAAAGCUCCGGCGGUGUAGGAUGGACCCGCGUCUGAUUAGCUAGUUGGUGAGGUAAUGGCUUACCAGGGCGACGAUCAGUAGCCGACCUGAGAGGGUGAUCGGCCACCCUGGAACUGAGACACGGUGCAGACUCCUACGGGGGGCAGCAGUAGGGAAUUUUCCACAAUGGGCGAAAGCCUGAUGGAGCAACGCCGCGUGCAGGAUGACGGCCCUCGGGUCGUAAACUGCUUUUAUGUGAGAAGAAUAUGACGGUAACACAUGAAUAAGGGUCGGCUAACUACUUGCCAGCCGCCGCUGUAA
RNAcentral lists this ribosomal RNA (466 nucleotides) under uncultured bacterium. RNAcentral describes it as "partial 16S ribosomal RNA". It matches the Rfam family "Bacterial small subunit ribosomal RNA", at positions 28 to 523 of the family's 1533-position model. The record is from RNAcentral.